UCGAGGCGAUGGAUUAGGUAAGGAUGGGUGAGGUUUGGCUGAGUUACAAGAGGUUACGCUAAUGACCUAAUGGGAAUGAAGGCGGCGAAUCCUUCUGUUAGAUUUGAGGAGGAAGCUCCCGCCACUCCCAGUAUUAGGACACCUCGCUUUAGAAACAAGAUGGUGGUCAACCAUUUUCUCACAAAAUGUCGGUCUCUAACUUCAUGUCUCACUGAAGUGCGUACUUUUUCCGGUUCAAUAUUAAGUGAAGUACGUACUUUUAUCCCUCAAUUUCCCUCAGUCUUCACAGUGCUGCCCACUGCCGCGCUGCUGAAGGUGUUGACGAAUACGUAACAGCUAAAUAUGUUAUGACCUUGUCGCCUGCAGCGUUGUUGACAGUGUGACGGCUCUGUAGAGCUACUGCGUGCAUAAUUAAUCUCUAAUCCACAAUUAACAUGUAGUAUUAUAGCAGUUAUAUUUUGUCCUUUUAAAAUUAUUAUUUGUGAUGAAAUUAAGUUCUUCUUUUAGAUUGUGGGCUGUAUUCGUUCCUUUAUAAAAGAAAAUGUAUUUUUAAGUAUACGUGACCAGCAGCCCCUGCUGGAGGGAAUACUGAGUUGGGGGAAUCUGUGGCUUUUACUGUUCUGCUUCAUUCAGUUUAGAUAAGACGGUGUUGUUUAUUAUCAAAAACGUCAUUGGGGCAACAGGUCCGUUGUUGUAUGUUCUUUCCUUUCUUCUUUCCUUUGUGUUCCUUUGUGUUUAUUUUCCACCUCCUCAUCCAUCUACUGCUACUUUUACUACUCCUCCUCCUCCUCCUGCUCCUGCUUCUCCUCCUCCUCCUCCUCCUCAUAAAUUAAAUUGUAAACUUAUCCACCUUCCUUAUUUCCUCCUGAUUGGUUUCGAACUGAGACGAACCACAUAAACUUGAUCGUAACUUGUCGGUAAAUAAAUCACUCUUUGCCUGCCUCGCCUUGGGGGACACUUGAAGUUUCCACCUCCGUCCUCAAGUUGCUGGGGGAAAGUUCGCGCAUCUUGCCUUCAGUGACGGGAGAAGGAAUGAAGGAAAGGAAGGGAAGGGGAUUCGAGCGAGGAGAAUAAAACAGUAUUAUAUUCUUUCCUUGUCAUUCAUAAUUUAUCACCGAGUAUGGAUCCCUGAAGGUUUGUAGAAAUAAAGCACGUGUUUUAUUUUUAUUUAUUUAUUUAUUUUUUUAUGACACUCACAUCCUCCUAAGUUCCACCUUAAUAUAAUUUCUCAACAAGAGUUCUUACACACAGACCUGUAGCUGUUCAUCAUGUGGCAUUCAAGUCAGUGUUUUUUUUUUUUUUUUUAAGCGUUAAGUUAGGAGUGAUGACGUAAGAGUCCACGUACUUACUAAGAGAACUUGCUAACUUAAAAAUAGGAAAACAACACACAGUAGUUUUAAAAUAGAUGAACAGAAAAUAACGCUGACAGUAUAAUGUAGCCUCCUCGUUGCAUUAUUUUUCUUUCAUACAGAUUCAUCAACGCCAAGCCAGAUAAACACCACACCAGCUUUGCAAACCCAUCUAUUUUACAUCCUGCCGCCAGCUCCCCUCCGUGUUGAAACAUUGGAUUCCAGUCGAGGGCCCCAUUUCUGUAUAUUUCUGGCAACGGGACGAACACUGACCAAGGGCAACAAAAAUUCAAUAAAUAAAAAAAGCCCACUGAGAUAUAUUCCAGUGCAGCGUCCGUCAAGGGUUUCAUACUGGCGAUCAGAAAGACAAAAAGCAUUCUGAGUGACUGAUUGAUUAAGAAGCUUGUUAACGAAGAUGGAUGCAGAAUAUAAGACAUCAUAGCUGCAGCUCGAUGGUCUGAGGGACUGGAUCGGCCAUCCUCUUGGGGAACGCAGGCAAAUUUCCAGCAGCAAGGAAAGGUGAACGUUGAUAGAAGAGUUGGAGAAGUUCAGUGAAGCGGAGUGAAAGCAUAGAAGAGGCAUGUAAUGGAAACGGUAGAAGGAAAUCAUCAGGACCAUAAGCCUUCCGGUGGGCAAGAUGUGAGACAGCACAGAAAACAUCAUUAUAAAGAAUUUCAGUAGCGGACAACAACAGCCAGAUAUUACAGAUGAAGAAAGAACAAAGAACUAUCCAGUGUUGAGUUCACACCAGUGAUCUGAGGGAAGAGUUCACACACACACACACACACACACACACACACGCACACACACACACGCACACACACACAUGGAGGGAUACAUGACGUGUCCAGAGUGUAUAAUUAUGUAAGGAUGCACAGUUGGAAAAGAUGUUCUAGGGAGGAAAUUGUGUGUUAGAUAAGAAAUAUUUUUAGACAGAUUAAAAUAUUAGAAAAUGG
Molecule: long non-coding RNA, 2305 nt
Organism: Scylla paramamosain (green mud crab)
Lineage: Eukaryota; Metazoa; Arthropoda; Malacostraca; Decapoda; Portunidae
Exons: 2
Source: RefSeq, a predicted model, not a curated record